UCCGGACAAAAUCAAUGACAGCUCUUCCGUAACUCGAGGGCCUGGAACUCUUAGAAGGUCCCUGUGGUUUGCUGUCACAGUUGGCUGUUUGGCAGGGAUCUGACCUGUCAUUUGGAAGAACAAGGUUCUUAAAUUCCAGAGGUCACCUGGGAAUAGUGUCCAAGCUAGAGUCCAGCAUUCCCAGUUUCCUUCCCUAGAGAUCAAACUCAGGGCCUUGUGCACUCGAGGCAUUCAUUCUGUCCUUGAGCUACAUCUCCAGCCCUAACUUCCCACCUUCACCACAGAAGAAACCUAGGAGCGAUGGGAGUAAGAGAAUCACAAACCGAGUGAUGUAGAAAGCAGAUGGGAAAGAAGAUGGAUGAUGAACCAAAGACCUGUGACCAGAGAAAUNCUCAGACAGACAUAGCCAGGCCUGCCCUGUGGUCACUAGAAGCAGACACGCACCAGGAAGGUGAAGAAGGCUUGACCUGACGAAAGAACAGAGUCUCAUACUGUGAACAUUAGUGCAAGAAACAGUUCAUGACAUGCGUGGUGGUUUGAAUAGGAGUGGCCACCAUAGGCUCAUAAAUUUGAAUGCUUUGGUCACCAGGGAGCGGUGAGUAGGUGCGGCCUAGUUGGAGGAAGUACGUCACUGUGGGUGGUCUUUAGGGUUUCAAAUGCUCAAGCCAGUUUCUCCCUCCCUGCUGCCUCCCCAGCACCUGCAUGCCAUCUUGCUUCCUGACAUGACCAUAAUGGACGAAACCUCUGAAACUGUAAGCCAGCCCCAAUUAAAUGCUUUCUUUUAUAAGAGUUGUCAUAGUCCUACUANAUUUUUUGACACUGUGACAAAAUAUAGUAAUCUGAAAUGCUCAUGCUCACAUAAUAGAGUUAUAUGGUUUAAAACAAAAACAAAAAAAAAUGACUUCACAAAAUUCUUAGGCAAGUGGAUAGAUAUA
This is a non-coding RNA of Mus caroli (Ryukyu mouse), 935 nucleotides long. The record is from RefSeq and is a predicted model, not a curated record. NCBI's taxonomy places the organism in Eukaryota, Metazoa, Chordata, Mammalia, Rodentia, Muridae.